RNAcentral lists this ribosomal RNA (497 nucleotides) under uncultured bacterium. RNAcentral's name for it is "partial 16S ribosomal RNA". It matches the Rfam family "Bacterial small subunit ribosomal RNA", at positions 28 to 507 of the family's 1533-position model. The record is from RNAcentral.
GAUGAACGCUGGCGGCGUGCCUAAUACAUGCAAGUCGAGCGAACAGACGAGGAGCUUGCUCCUCUGACGUUAGCGGCGGACGGGUGAGUAACACGUGGAUAACCUACCUAUAAGACUGGGAUAACUUCGGGAAACCGGAGCUAAUACCGGAUAAUAUAUUGAACCGCAUGGUUCAAUAGUGAAAGACGGUUUUGCUGUCACUUAUAGAUGUAUCCGCGCCGCAUUAGCUAGUUGGUAAGGUAACGGCUUACCAAGGCAACGAUGCGUAGCCGACCUGAGAGGGUGAUCGGCCACACUGGAACUGAGACACGGUCCAGACUCCUACGGGGGGCAGCAGUAGGGAAUCUUCCGCAAUGGGCGAAAGCCUGACGGAGCAACGCCGCGUGAGUGAUGAAGGUCUUCGGAUCGUAAAACUCUGUUAUUAGGGAAGAACAAAUGUGUAAGUAACUAUGCACGUCUUGACGGUACCUAAUCAGAAAGCCACGGCUAACUACGUG